This 4180-nucleotide ribosomal RNA is filed under the name Omphalotus japonicus. RNAcentral's name for it is "small subunit ribosomal RNA". The stretch from base 1821 to 3215 matches the Rfam family "Bacterial small subunit ribosomal RNA". The record is from RNAcentral. Lineage: Eukaryota; Fungi; Basidiomycota; Agaricomycetes; Agaricales; Omphalotaceae.
AAAAAAAUUUAAUUUUGGUUCUGAUUGAACGUUUUUCAGUAGUUUUAAGACAUGCAAAUCAUUGUUUAUAAAAAGUAUAUAUUUAAAUAAAUAUUUACUAAUAAAAAACAAGGUGUAAAGGUGAGUAAUAUAGAUUAGAUACCUUAUAGUCUUCUUAAUUCGAAGAUAAUUUAUUUCUUUAAUUUUUAUUUUUACUAUUUUCACUUGCUAUCGCUCCCUCCCUCCCGUCGCUCCUUUGCUUUAGCAAGGAAAGCGAGGGAGGGAAGGAGGCGGGCGGGUGUGAGUAAAUAUUUAAGUUAAAGAUACUUUAAUUUUUUAUUUUAAAGUAUAAGUAAAAAUAAUUAGCUAUUUAUUUUAUAAAGGAAAUUUUCUGCUAUAAGAUUCGAUCUAUUCUGUUUAAAGGUAGUUGGUGGAGUAAAAGCCUACCAAGCCUACGAUCAGAAGCCAUGUUUGAUAGAGCAAAUGGCCACAUUGGGAAUGAAAUGUCCCUAGUAGUGUACACUACCAGCAGUCAAGAAUAUUAGUCAAUGCUCGAAAGAGUGAACUAGCUAACUGAAAUCGCAUUUUUCGUUUAAAAUGGUGAAUGUGAUAAUGUAAGGGAAAAAUUUGAUGUUACUUUACUAUUAGUGUUGUCCAAAGCUGUGAGAUGUAUUAGGACUACAUCGUUAAUGGCUGUUAAACUAUCAAACUCCGGAAAAGCCCUAAAGCUUAUGGUACCAAACUACAUUCGAAAGUUUGUAAGUGGAUGAAGUAAUUACUCAUGUAAGGUAAUAAGUCAUAAGAUGAAGGAAACUAAAAUGGGUUAUCGCGGAUCUAAAUCAUUUUUACUUAAAUAUAACAGUAACAGUCAACCAAUAAUAUUAAGUAAAGGUGUAAAAGAGCAACGAGUAGAUGGUAGUUGCUUUGGGUCUAUAUUAUAUCCAAAGUUAAGGUGUAUUCUAACGGGCUUCGAAAGAAGCUAUCUUGUCAAAAUCCUUUCUAAACAUUUUUUUAAUAGAUUUUACUCUACAAAUAAUAUACCGUUGAAUCCAUAUUUUGUUACUGGAUUUACUGAUGCUGAGGGAAGUUUUACUAUUUCAAUUCAAUCUAACAAUAAAGCCAGCACUAAGAUAAGAGUAAUGGCUAGAUUUAAAAUUGGAUUAAAUGCUAAAGAUCAUUCUUUAUUAAUCAAAAUUCAAGAAUUUUUUGGAGGCAUAGGAACAUUUACUUUUGAUAAUGAAAGCAACGCUUGAAUUUAUUCAGUAAGUAGUGUAACUGAAUUGCUAAAUAUUAUUAUUCCUCAUUUUAAUAAAUAUGUACUAUUAACUCAAAAAGCAGCUGAUUUUAAAUUAUUUGUGCAAAUAGUUCAAUUAAUGAACAAAGGAGCUCAUCUUAAUUAUGCUGGUUUACAAGAAAUAGUUAAUAUUAAAGCUUCUAUGAAUAAAAGUAAUUCUGAUUUUGUUAAAUCUAAGUUUCCUCAAAUUAAUCCUGUAAUAAGAGAAACCAUUGAAACUGCAAAUAUUUAUGAUCUACAUUGGAUUUCAGGUUUUGUUAGUGGAGAAGGUAAUUUUGAUGCAGGAAUUAGGAAAGCUACUAAUACUAGAAAAGAAAGAGUUUAUUUAAGAUUUAGAUUAACACAGCAUGUUAAAGAUUUUAAAUUAAUGGAACUUAUAAUUAAAUAUUUAGGUUGUGGAAGAAUUGAAUAUGAUAAUAGAAAAGAUCAUUCUGUUUUAAAUAUAGUAGUAGGAAAUUUUUCAGAUAUAAAUAACAAAAUUAUUCCUUUUUUUAAUAAGUAUCCUGUUUUAGGUAUUAAAUAUUUAGAUUAUUUAGAUUGAGCAAAAAUUGCUAAUAUGAUGAUUUUAAAUAAACAUAAAACAGUAGAAGGUUUUGAAGAAAUAAAAGUAAUAGAAGCUGGAAUGAAUAAAGGUAGAAAAAUUUAAAAAAUUAUAUGAUAAAUUUGAUGAAAUGUGGGUGCCAGAAGACUCGGUAAUGCCAGAGACGCAAACGUUAGUCACAUUAACCAGGCGUAAAGGGUGUGUAGGCAGCUUAAAAGUUAUAUUUUUAAAAUAGCUAUUUCAAAUAUUAUAUUUUGAUUUUUAAAAAUUUAAUAAAUUUAAGAUAGAAUCAUAUUGAGGAUAAGCCGAAUAAUGCUUAGAGUAGGGAUUAAAUCCUAAAAUACUAGGUGGAAUACUAAUGGUGAAAGCUUUUUAUCUAAUAAUGAUUGACGCUGAGAAACGAAGGUGAGAAUAGAAAAUAGGAUUAGAGACCCAGAUAUCUCUCACUGUCAACGAUGAAUGGUGGAUUGUUAGUUUUAAUAACUAGUAUCGAUGUUAACGCGAUAACCAUUCCGCCUUGAGAGUACGGUUGCAAAACUGAAACCAAAAAAAUUAGUCGGUCUCGAAGCAAACGAAGUGAAGCAUGUUAUUUAAUACGAGAGUACGCGUAAAAUCUUACCAGUUCUUGUAUAGCCAUAUUUAUUUAGAAUUAAUUUAUUUAUUGAAUUUUUUUAUAAUAAAUAUGAGUAGUUAUUUUUUUAAUUUAAUAACUCGUUUACAGGUGUUGCAUGGCUGUCGUCAGUCCGUGUUUUGAGAAGUAAGGUUAACUCCACUAACGGACGAAAUCCCUGUUAUAAAUUUAUACUUUAUAACUAAUGAUUUUUAAAUAUUUUCAUUUGGGGCUAAGACAAGUCGUUAUGGCCCUAAUGAACUGGGCUAUCGACGUGCCACAAGAACUUUUACAAAGUGAUGCAAAAACCGGACUUUGUAUUUUGUUUUUUACAAAAUUAAUGUUUUCUUUUUUAAGAUAAAUGUUUAAGGUCAUAAGGAUUAGCUAAUCAUUAAAGAAAGUUACUAUUAUUAAAUUUAUUUUAGACGAAUUGUCGCCUGAAAUUCGGCGACAUGAAGAAGGAAUUUCGAGUAAUCGUUGAUCACUAGCGCAACGGUGAAGAUUGCAUUCGUGAUGAACUAACUGUCUGUCACUGGGAAGGAAUUUGGAUAGGGGGAAAAAGCCACAUAAUUAUAACUUUUCAAAGAUAUCUUAAGUAAUAGUUAAUAUUAUUUUAAGUGUAGUUUUACUUAUAGGUUUAUAUAUCUAUUGAUUUAAUUAAUAUUUUAAUCUUUUAUUUUUAAAUAAACAUCUUUGUUAAACUAAUUAGUAUCUUUUAACCCAUUUGAGUAACAUCUCAAAAGUCAUAGCAAGGUAGCUGUACUGGAAGGUGCUGCUGGAAAAUAAAAUUAUUUUAACCCCUCGCUCUUGCUAAAACAUUAGCCGCCGUCCUGCUUUAGCAGCUAAAGCAAGGACGGUGAGAGAGCGAGCGCUCCUCGCUCUAAGCGACAGCUAAAGCAGGAACGGUGAGCGAGAAACAUUUAUUAUAUCUCGCACUGCUAAUGUUUUAGUAAUUUGUCUUUUACUUUUAAACUUACUUUAUUUUAAUGUAAAGCUACUUAAAUAAAGUUUAGUAAAUAUUUGCUUAGUAUACUAAAUUACUCUAUUACUCCUUACUUUAGCAGCUCACUUUCCCGCCACCCCCCCUCCCCUCGCUUACGCGUCAAAUUUGUGGGAAGCGAUAGCGAGAAUUGGUGGUGAUAGCAACUUACUAUAUAAAACAUAAAUAGCAUAGUUACUUUAGUUACCAUAAUAACCAAAGUAAAUGUUAGUCGCGCAGCGAUCGCGCAGCGAGAGAGAAAAUUUUAAUCAAAAGAUAGUAAUAAUUAUAUUUUACGAAAAAUUGUAACUGAAUAAUUACUAUUACACUACAUAAUAACAAUUAUUUUUUAAUAUUUAAUUCGUAAUAGAGAAAAAGCAAAGCUCUUAUUAUUUUUUUAUUAUUUUAUAUAUUUAAUUAAAAAAAAAAAAAAAAUUUUUUUUUUUAAAGUUAUUUAGGCUAAUGAUUUUUAAAUAUUUUCAUUUGGGGCUAAGACAAGUCGUUAUGGCCCUAAUGAACUGGGCUAUCGACGUGCCACAAGAACUUUUACAAAGUGAUGCAAAAACCGGACUUUGUAUUUUGUUUUUUACAAAAUUAAUGUUUUCUUUUUUAAGAUAAAUGUUUAAGGUCAUAAGGAUUAGCUAAUCAUUAAAGAAAGUUACUAUUAUUAAAUUUAUUUUAGACGAAUUGUCGCCUGAAAUUCGGCGACAUGAAGAAGGAAUUUCGAGUAAUCGUUGAUCACUAGCGCAACGGUGAAGAUUGCAUUCGUGAUGAACA